CUUAGCACCUCAACAUAUCAAUUUUGGGGAAAUACAAUUCAGUUCACAGUGCAUAGAUAGAUAUUAAUUGAUAUUAUCAAAAGAAACCAUGGGCAGAUAAACCCAAAACCAAACUGUUUUAAUGGUUAUCUAUUGGGAAGAAAAAGAAACAGGGUGAACGGGAAGUUACAGAAGCAAGAUUUCUGUGACUGUAACUGGAUAAAUAGAGAGUUUGGGAGGACGAUAAGUGUUUUAUGUGAUUUUUAAAAAUUAAAGUAAACUGAAAUGAAUGAGUCUUCCUGCAUAUAAAGUGUGUGGCAUAACCACAUAAAGCAAACAAUUACUUAAAGUGGCUUUAAAACGCAGCAUUUUGACUAUACAUCCCAAGUGAGAGAUAUGCUAUGGACAAUAAAAAAAAGGAAAAGAAAAAAGGAAAGAAAUCAUAAAUGGCAUUCAGUAGCCAUAUAUUAGUAUUGACAUUUUUAUUAAAUUACUAUGUUUCCAUCAUUAGGAACCAUAAUUUUCAGUAUAAAAAUGACAUAGCAUAAAAUCAAGGAAGUUUAAGUAAAAAUCUUGUAAUCUUAAAAGUGAAUUGGAAAUUGCAGUAUGAACUCACAUUGUGUUUUACUCUUUAAAAAAUACAUAUUUUCUAGUUCUGUCCACUGAAAAGACCCAGAAGCAAUGAAAACCCAGUAACAAUGAGCACACUUCCACGGCUGAACUCUCUAGAUAACAUUUACCAAUGAAAUUGGCUGAUUCUAAGUCUAGGGCAAAAAAUGUACAAAAGGAGACUGGAUACAAGUCUCUUAUUGUACCAGAAAGUGAAGGAGAAAUCAAAGACUAAUGAGGUCACGUUAAAGUGAUACAGGACGACACAGGGCCUGCCUGCAGCAGCUGGUCAAUAAUGAAGGGAUUAAUCCAUGACUGCAAGACUCGUGGGAAGGAGGGAGUGGGGACUGCAGGGAGGGUCCUAGUAAAAGCAGGGUGGGCCUCGAUGAGCACAGCAUGGACAGUGCGAUUUAAAUCCCAUCGCUUGUGGGCAGGAGGAGUGAGGAUGCCAGAACCUAGUUAUCCCCCACCAUCCCACGCUCUCCCAGGAGGCGGCGGCAGGAAGUGCAGUCUACAGUAAGGGAAAGCCGCCGGAGCUGGAGACAGGCUGGAAAGAGCAGGUAACAGCCCACAAGGAGCGGGGGCCCUGGCUGUCAGACUCAACUUGCAGGACCAUCAAGUGCAGGUGUGGUUCAAGAACCGGGGCCGCUUGCUCUGCGGUAGCAACGGCACAUAACCGCAGCGAUGACCAGGGCAGCCAAGCCAGCAGCCGGGACCCCGGGAUGCUCUUGGCACAUGAUCCGACUCCCCUGCCUUUGCGGGUCCUGUACUCCCGCGAGGUCCAGGAUUGUGCAGCCCCUCCCCAACCGGCCGUUGGGAAUCUUCGCAGCAGCAGAACCCGCUGCCUCCAGGUCCGACCAGACCUGCAUAGGUAGAGAGUCCCCGCACAGGGCGGCCAGCAGAGCUACCCAGCUGCCCCAGGGCCUCGGGACCCCUGGGCCUGGGACCCAGGCCAGACCCUGACUCAUUCGGUGAUCUCACAGGACUCCUCCCACCCCAAGACCCUUUCAGGGACCCUGCCUCGAACUCCACGACAUGGGAGGCAGGGGCGGGCCUUUUGCAGGGGAAGGACUCCCCCAGCAGGACGUUUACUGAAUCUGGAGGGAGUCGCCCUGCAGAUAUCCCGCGGAAGCCGGAGGAGACCCAGCAAUUCCAUUUUGGAAAAUUUAUCCUGAGGAAAUAAAUAAAGAUGUAAACAGAGAAUAACUUACAGAUGUGACGUUUGUGAUCGUUAAAACUGGAAACAGCGCAAGAGUGGACGAUAGGGGAUGAGAGAGCCACACAGCGCAUAGAAGAUGAUCAGUCUGAAGAGAGGGUUUUCAGACAUGCAAUUAACUGCUAUUCACUGUACUUCAUUUUAACUGCAAACUAGCAGGAAAAAAGAGGUCAACUCGGAGGAGCCAGGGAUUCAGCCCACUCUGGACAACACUCAGAGCCAUGGCACCUACCUGUAUGAAAAAAAAUUGUUAAGCAGCUGCCACUCCUAGUUACUGGCCUCUGCUCGGUGACUGAUGCACUUCUAACAUCCUUGUCCCAGGAUAAAGACCUUGUAAUGGAGAAAAAAGAUGGCAGGGAUCCUUUCCAUGGAAUUUCGGCUGUUGUCUAGUGGACCUUCCAGGAAUUGUCUGAUUCUAUGGGAGUGCGCAACUUUGACUGUUCAGUUGGGCCAAUUGGCAACACUGUAGAGACGGAAACUAACUUGUGGAGGGCUGAGGGUGAUACAGACAUUUUCUGUCCGUGGUAAUGCAAAAGGUGUUCAUAGCAAUGCAAAUGGAUUUUAUCCAAUGGGGGAGAUAAAUAUUUGAACGGGCUCUCUUGUUAAUUACUAGUUAAUCAAAAUAUUUGACAUGUAUUCAUUCUAUAUUUAUAGGGGAGUCAUGAUUCUACCUUUUUGGAAAUGACCCUCUAGCAGUUUUAUUGGUCCUAUGAGAUACACAGUAGAUUCACCAGCCAGAGCCAGAUGAGCUGCACAGUUGCCAAAGGGAACUUCAGAUGCCACCAGAGCCUCAGCUCUGUCCUCCCUCACCUCCCAAGGUGACUUCCAAGCAGCCACAGAACUUUAAUUUUACUUACUCUCUGUUUCUCUAGUUUUAUUUUUCUAAUCUUUACUGAAUUUGUGUCUGUGGUUUUAUUUCUGGUUUAUUCCUGACUAUAAGUUAUUCCCUAUUCUUGACAACAGUGAUUGAGAAUUUGGUUUUUGGCCUGACCAUUUAGUCAUCUCUGUAGAUGGAUGACACAGAUCUAAUUCCUUUCAAGUGAGAGACAACAGGAAAUCCGGUUUGUUGGUCCUUUCUUGUUUGUUUAUUUUGAGCUCCAGUCAGUUAGAAAUUUAGUGCCCGCUGCAAAGCACAGCUCUUUGAGACUUGGGAUUGGUAAGAGGGUGUGUUGCUUACUUCUGGCCUGUGGCUGAAUUUGCAGGGCCAAAGCCAAAAUCUCUCCAUAUGUCUGUCAUCUGUGAUCCAUGUGUCUGCAAGUCUAUAACUGAGAAAAGCCUUGAUUCCGUGAUAUGUGAGUGUGAAAUAAAUUAAUAAAUUAGUUAUGUCUCUUAAAUCAAAGGAGCUCUGUUCUUACUAGUUUAUAGGAAAAAAGGCACUUAUAUAUCUUAUAUAUCUCAUAUUUCUAGCUUCUAGUGCUUUCAAUGUGUUAGGCUUUUUAAAAUAUCCUUCAUACAGAAACUGCUACCUUAAAUACAUUUUAUAAAACCAAGUUCCUGUAACUAAGGUAAAUCUGUGGCAAGUCAAACUAGCUUAAUAAUUUUGGUUUUUAAAAAACAGAUUGGUCUUGUCUUUGAUUUACAGUGUUAAGUAUAAUUCAAUUGUGUAUUUGAUCAAAUCUCUCAUGAAGAGAAUAAUCUGGUCUUCUUAAAUAGUUUAUCAAAAAGAUAACAUUAGUCUAAUACAAUGUCACUAUUAUGAAAACUGAAUAUUGGUAUUACUCUAAAUUGAAUCACUAUUUAGACACAUCCGUUACCUCAACCUAUGUUUUGUAGUAUAAUUUAUCCAAUUAAAUAAAUGUCCAAGAUCUUUAGAUAACUUAGAACCUGGAAUCUUCAGAUAAAUCAGAACCUGACCCUGAAUGGAGUUAAUUAAUAGAUAAUCAUCAGAUACCUAGAUAAACGAAGUAGGAUAUAACACUAAAACAUGGAUUGCUAAGCCUACUUUUAGGCUUAUCCACUUUUGCUCCUUAUUUUUAUAU
Molecule: long non-coding RNA, 3783 nt
Filed under: Homo sapiens (human)
Lineage: Eukaryota; Metazoa; Chordata; Mammalia; Primates; Hominidae
Description: HSALNT0305699
Source: RNAcentral